This 336-nucleotide unclassified non-coding RNA is filed under the name soil metagenome. Its description in RNAcentral is "partial contains 5.8S ribosomal RNA, internal transcribed spacer 2, and large subunit ribosomal RNA". The stretch from base 1 to 120 matches the Rfam family "5.8S ribosomal RNA", at positions 35 to 154 of the family's 154-position model. The record is from RNAcentral.
GAUGAAGAACGCAGCGAAAUGCGAUAAGUAAUGUGAAUUGCAGAAUUCAGUGAAUCAUCGAAUCUCUGAACGCACAUUGCGCCCGCCAGUAUUCUGGCGGGCAUGCCUGUUCGAGCGUCAUUUCAACCAUCAAGCCCCAGGCUUGUGUUGGGGACCUGCGGCUGCCGCAGGCCCUGAAAACCAGUGGCGGGCUCGCUGUCACACCGGGCGUAGUAGAUUUUACCUCGCUCUGGGCGUGCUGCGGGUUCCGGCCGUUAAAAAACCCUUUUAACCCAAGGUUGACCUCGGAUCAGGUAGGAAUACCCGCUGAACUUAAGCAUAUCAAUAAGCGGAGGA